UACAGAGGGUGCGAGCGUUAAUCGGAGUUACUGGGCGUAAAGGGCGCGUAGGUGGAUGUCUAAGUCGGUUGUGAAAUCCCCGGGCUUAACCUGGGAAUUGCAAUCGAUACUGGAUAUCUAGAGUAUGGUAGAGGAAAGCGGAAUUCCCAGUGUAGCGGUAAAAUGCGUAGAUAUUGGGAAGAACACCAGUGCGAAGGCGGCUUUCUGGACCAAUACUGACACUGAGGCGCGAGAGCGUGGGGAGC
Molecule: ribosomal RNA, 245 nt
Filed under: uncultured bacterium
Lineage: Bacteria
Description: partial 16S ribosomal RNA
Rfam family: Bacterial small subunit ribosomal RNA
Source: RNAcentral